UACGGAGGGGGCUAGCGUUGUUCGGAAUUACUGGGCGUAAAGCGCACGUAGGCGGCUUUGUAAGUUAGAGGUGAAAGCCCAGGGCUCAACCCUGGAAUUGCCUUUAAGACUGCAUCGCUUGAAUCAUGGAGAGGUGAGUGGAAUUCCGAGUGUAGAGGUGAAAUUCGUAGAUAUUCGGAAGAACACCAGUGGCGAAGGCGACUCACUGGACAUGUAUUGACGCUGAGGUGCGAAAGCGUGGGGAGCGAACAGG
RNAcentral lists this ribosomal RNA (253 nucleotides) under uncultured bacterium. RNAcentral's name for it is "partial 16S ribosomal RNA". It matches the Rfam family "Bacterial small subunit ribosomal RNA", at positions 524 to 776 of the family's 1533-position model. The record is from RNAcentral.